Molecule: long non-coding RNA, 3586 nt
Filed under: Sus scrofa (pig)
Lineage: Eukaryota; Metazoa; Chordata; Mammalia; Artiodactyla; Suidae
Description: lncRNA (ENSSSCG00060002049.1)
Source: RNAcentral
GUUUGUGGGAGAAGGUGAGCACGACCUCUUACUCCUCUGCCAUCUUGCUCCUCCUCCCCUGCUUUUUUUUUUUUAAAGUGUAGAUUCCCUUCCUUUACUUUGGGAUAGUCCUCAUUAAUUAAUGUUAUCCCUAUUUCAUUAGCCUGAAUAAAAAUCAUUUCCUUAAUUGAUGCAUUUUAUCUUUCACAGAGGAUUACAUAAUAUAUGAAAAUACUGAAAUACUGAAUUACUGAAAUUAAGUUAAAUACUGAAGCUUCUCUGAUACACAGUAAGGUAUCAAUAAAGGUUACAAUAUUAAUAUGGAAAAGGUAAACCUCACUAAUAUACCAUUAGGUAUCUAUUAGAAUGACUAAAUCAAAAAACAUAACAAGUCCAAAUGUUGGCAGGAAUGUGGAGUAAUUAGAAGUCUCAUACAUUACUAGAGUUCCCAUCAUGGCUCAAUGUCUAAUGAAUCUGACUAGGAAUCAUGAGGUUGUGGGUACGACCCCUGGCCUUGCUCAGUGGGUUAAGGAUCCGGCAUUGACCUGAGCUGUGGUGUAGGUUGCAGAUGCAGCUCAGAACCCGUGUUUCCGUGGCUGUAGAAUAGGCCGGUGGCUAUGGCUCCAAAUAGACCCCUGGCCUGGGAACCUCCAUAUGCCAUGGGUGUGGCCCUAGAAAAGGCAAAAAGACAAAAAACAAUAAAAUAAAUAAAAUAAAAGGGGUUAUGGAAAUGGGAAAGAAAACUCUAAGGGUGCAUACUACAUGAUUUCCUUUAUAUGACAUUAUCACAAAUGCAAAACAGUAGGGAGAGAAAACAGAUUAGUAGCUGCUGGAAGCUAGGAUGAUAGUUGAAUAUAAAUGCAAAUGAGGGAAUUUUUUUAAGGUGAUAGGACUUUCCUAGAUCUUCAUUUUGGUGUUAGUUACGAGACUAUUCAUUUUUGAAAAUUCAUAGAACUGUAUACUUUCAAGGGGGAAUUCUUUUAUAUUUAAGUUAUAUCUCAAUAAACCUCACCCCUAAAAAGAGAUAGUACUUCUUGCAUGCAAGAUGUUGUAAAACCUCUUCAUUGCAAAGCAACAAGUUCCCCCUCAAAGACUACCCCUGAUCUCUUCUACUGGCUGCCAGGCUAAUAAUUAAGGUUAAAUCAUACUAGGAUUGAUAAGGUUGCAUGUGUAACUGGGUCACCAGGCUGUACAGUAGAAAAAAUACAUAUAUCUAUGUAAAUAAAUGAUAAAAAAAGAUGGUAAAAAAAAGGUUGGAAAGAGAUGUACACCCCCAAGAAGCAGAAAGGAUUCUGUAACAUACACUGGCAAGAACCAGAGGAAUAAGAGCUAAUGAUGUUGAAUAUCUUUUUAGACCUUUUUUUUUUAUAUAUCUGUAUAUCCUCAUCAGUGAAAUGUUUGUUCCUAUGUUUUGGCCAUUUUCUAAUUGGUUUUUUUUAUAACUACUGAGCUUUUGAGAGUUCUUUACGUGUGUUAGUGCGUGCGUGUGUGUGUGUGUGUGUGUGUGUGUGUAUUUAGAUCUGUAUGCUUUCCUGGUAUGUUGAUCCACUUAUUACUGUUAUGUCCUUAUUUGUUUAAUUUUCUUUUUCUGAAGUCUACUUUAAAAUUAAUAUACCUACUUCUGUUAUUUUUGAUUAAUGUUUUCUGGGCAUAUCUUUUUCCAACAUUUUUUUUACUUUAAAUCUACCUAUGUUGUUGUGUAUUAAGUGAAUUUCUUGUAAACAGUAUAUUGCUGUACCAUUUUACUUUAAUCCUGCUGCCAAACUGUCUUUUAAAUGAUGAAUUCAGGUCAUUUACUUUUAAGAAAAUUAUUGAUAUGUUAAGACUUAAGCCUUGUCAUUUUACUAUCUAUUUUCUGUUUGUUUGCUUGGGUUCUUAUUCCUCUAUUCCCUUCCUGUGAGUUAUUUGGACACAUAGGGGGAUUCCAUCUUGAUUUAUUUGUACUGUUAUAUUUUAUUCUUUAUUAAUGGUGUUUUUAAAAAAUUAUUUUUAAUUCAUUUUUUAUUAUAGUUGAUUUACAGUGCUGUGCCAAUUUCUGCUAUACAGAAAAGUGACUCAGUUAUACAUUUAUAUACAUUCUUUUUCUUUUCAUACUAUCUUUCAUCAUGGUCUAUCUCAAGAUACUGGAUAUUGUUCCCUGUGCUAUACAGUAGGACCACUUUGAUUAUCCAUUCUAAAUGUAAUAGUUUGCACCUACCCACCCCAAAUUCCCUGCCCAUCCCACUUCCUCCCCCUCAUGCUUGGCAACCACAAGUCUGUUCUCUAUGUUUGUGAGUCUGUUUCUGUUUUGUAGAUAAGUUUAUUUGUAUCAUAUUUUAGAUUGCACACAUAAGUGAUGUCAUAUGGUAUUUGCUUUCUCUUUUUGACUUACUUCAGUUAGUAUGAGAAAUAAACUAUUUAAAAAAACACAGAAUGGGAGAAAAUCUUUGCAAAUGAUGCAACUGACAAGGGCCUAAGCUCUAAAACAAGUCAUAAAACUCAACCACAACAAAAAGACAAACAAUACAAUAAAAAAAAUGGGCAGAAGACCUAAACAGACAUUAGUCUAAAGAAGAUACAAAUAGGCACAUAAAAAGAUGCUCGACAUCACUAAUUAUUAGAGAAAUGCAAAUCAAAACUUGAUUGAGGUACUACUUCACAUUGGUCAGAAUUGGCCAUCAUCAAAAUGUCUACAAAUAACUAAUUCUAGAGAGGGUGUGGAGAAAAGGGAAGCCUUCUUCACUGUUGGUGGGAAUGGAAAUUUGUACAACGACUGUGGAAAACAGUAUGGAAGCUCCUCAGAAAACUUAAAAAAAUAGAGAACUACCAUAUGAUCCAGCAAUUCCACUCAUGGGCAUAUUUCUGGACAAAACUAGAAUUUGAAAAAAAUACAUAGACCCCUAUGUUCUUUGCAGCACUAUUCACAAUAGCCAAGACAUGGAAAAAACCUAAAUGUCCAUCAACAGAUGAAUGGAUUAAGAACAUGUGAUACAUAUAUACCAUGGAAUAAUAUUUUGCCAUAAAAUGAAUGAAAUAAUGGCAUUUGCAGCAACAUGGAUGCAACUAUUCUGUUUUAAAAUAUAUUACUUUGUAUAAUAUCUUUGGUGGUUGCUCUACGUAUUACAAGACACAUAUGUAACUUAUUACAAACCACUCUUUUUUUUUUUUUUUUUUUUUUUUUUUUGUUGUUGUUGUUGUCUUUUGGCUAUUUCUUCGGGCCGCUUCUGUGGCAUAUGGAGGUUCCCAGGCUAGGGGUCGAAUCGGAGCUGUAGCCACUGGCCUACGCCAGAGCCACAGCAACACAGGAUCCGAGCCGCGUCUGCAACCUACACCACAGCUCACGGCAACGCCGGAUCGUUAACCCACUGAGCAAGGGCAGGGACCGAACCCGCAACCUCAUGGUUCCUAGUCGGAUUCGUUAACCACUGUGCCAUGCCGGGAACUCCUUUUUUUUUUUUUUGACAAACCACUCUUAUCAACAUUUUACCACUUGAAGUAAAGAUAAAAACCUAGCUUCCACUUACAUCCUUUUAGACCCACCACUUUUCAAAUAUAUUUGUCUUGAAUAUUUCCCAUGUAUUUGAGCAUCACACUAAAUGGUGUCAUAUCUUUUGCUUCAAUCUUCAAA